AGUGUGAAAUACAAAAAAAAAAACAGUGCUUUGGCUGUGGAGGAAGCUGCAAAGAUCCGUGCCAUGACAUGUGAAGAGGAGCCCACAAUCUGCAUCAUGAAAACUCGUGAGUUGCUGUCAAAGGCUCAGUUGCUGAUGUCUAGCAUAGAGGAACUGCUGGACCUUUGCACAUCACCAGGCCCCUCCAACCAGAGACGGUGCAGAAUGAUAGGUGUAGAGGAGCGUGAGGCCAGCGUAGAGGAGGACGGAGAGACCUUGGUCAUAGACGGCUUCAGGUUUGAGAGUGCGGUCAGCAGGGAGGACCUGAGGAGGCUGAGACCACCGGCUGGUAGAGGAGGAGGUGGCUUGAGUGAUGGCCACCGCAGUGGUUUGAUCACACAAGGUCAACAAGGUCAAAGGGCUGGCAGAGGUAACUGGCAGACGGAGAGCCAACCAAUGACACUUUGUACAAAUGAUGGAAGACAGGCUGACAACUGACAUGUGCAGCUCUUUACAGCGGCGAGACGAAACAGUACAUGACCCCAUGUUGUAAUGAAGAUAUCGGUUGUUUUACCGUCGAUAAGCUUUCCAAUUGUUAAUGAAUGCUGCCGCAAGAAGACGUUACGAGUUAUUUGUUUCUUGUUUUUCAGAUAAAACAGUUUUGAAUUGCCAUAACUCAACGUUUGCAUGUAUCAGUGUUGCGUGUGUGUUCAAAGUGCUGUAUUAUAUCGGAGAGAAUGUUUCAAGUUAAAGAUCGAAUACUUUGCAUUACUUAUUUAACGACUCUUGUUCAAACCAGUAUCUCGCAUUUUUCUGCAGUGUGAUCCGAAUGGGAACAGUAGCCCACCAGCAUUCCAUCCUAUUGUGUAUUUAUUUAAUUUGUGUGGGACACACAAACGCCUUGAAUGUCCCGUGUACAACGACACACUGCGUAUAGGUUAGUUGGGGGACAUAGCUUCCUGUUUGAUUACACUAGAGUCCUUCCUG
Molecule: long non-coding RNA, 966 nt
Organism: Cyclopterus lumpus (lumpfish)
Lineage: Eukaryota; Metazoa; Chordata; Actinopteri; Perciformes; Cyclopteridae
Exons: 3
Source: RefSeq, a predicted model, not a curated record